AUGGGGGCAACCCUGAUCAGCCAUGCCGCGUGUGUGAAGAAGGCCUUUUGGUUGUAAAGCACUUUAAGCAGUGAAGAAGACCUAACGGUUAAUACCCGUUAGCGAUGACAUUAGCUGCAGAAUAAGCACCGGCUAACUCUGUGCCAGCAGCCGCGGUAAUA
This 161-nucleotide ribosomal RNA is filed under the name uncultured Psychrobacter sp. RNAcentral describes it as "partial 16S ribosomal RNA". It matches the Rfam family "Bacterial small subunit ribosomal RNA", at positions 371 to 525 of the family's 1533-position model. Lineage: Bacteria; Pseudomonadati; Pseudomonadota; Gammaproteobacteria; Moraxellales; Moraxellaceae. The record is from RNAcentral.